This 89-nucleotide non-coding RNA is filed under the name Bacillus oleivorans. RNAcentral's name for it is "c-di-GMP-I riboswitch aptamer". It matches the Rfam family "c-di-GMP-I riboswitch aptamer". From Rfam's summary of the family: GEMM was predicted in a large-scale screen for bacterial structured RNA regulatory elements. Genes associated with GEMM are involved in a diverse array of functions, including chemotaxis regulation, signal transduction, secretion and chitin. The record is from Rfam by way of RNAcentral. Lineage: Bacteria; Bacillati; Bacillota; Bacilli; Caryophanales; Bacillaceae.
AUCUCGAAAAGGCAAAGUUGGUGAAAGCCAAUGACGCAAAACUACAGGGGCUACGGUGUUUCAGUACACUAGGCCAGCCAGUUACCGAA